RNAcentral lists this ribosomal RNA (1253 nucleotides) under metagenome. RNAcentral describes it as "bacterial LSU rRNA". It matches the Rfam family "Bacterial large subunit ribosomal RNA", at positions 1660 to 2925 of the family's 2925-position model. The record is from RNAcentral.
UAGGUAGAUGAGGAGAGAAUCCUAAGGCCGGCGGAAGAAUUGCAGUUAAGGAACUAGGCAAAUUGACCCCGUAAGUUCGCGAGAAGGGGUGCCUGCGAGAGCAGGCCGCAGAGAAUAGGCCCAAGCAACUGUUUAGCAAAAACACAGGUCUCUGCUAAAGCGCAAGCUGAUGUAUAGGGGCUGACGCCUGCCCGGUGCUGGAAGGUUAAGGGGAAUACUUAGCGCAAGCGAAGGUAUGAACUUAAGCCCCAGUAAACGGCGGCCGUAACAAUAACGGUCCUAAGGUAGCGAAAUUCCUUGUCAGGUAAGUUCUGACCCGCACGAAUGGCGUAAUGACUUGGGCACUGUCACAACUGCAAAUCCGGCGAAGUUGUAGUGCGAGUGAAGAUGCUCGCUACCCGCGAUUGGACGGAAAGACCCCGUAGAGCUUUACUGCAGCUUAGCAUUGAAUUCCGGUAUUGUCUGUACAGGAUAGGUGGGAGACUGGGAAACUAGGGCGUCAGCCUUAGUGGAGUCAACCUUGGGAUACCACCCUGACAGUACUGGGGUUCUAACAGGACGCCAUGAAACUGGUGACUGGACAUUGUUAGGUGGGCAGUUUGACUGGGGCGGUCGCCUCCUAAAAAGUAACGGAGGCGCCCAAAGGUUCCCUCAGAACGGUCGGAAAUCGUUCGUAGAGUGCAAAGGCAAAAGGGAGCUUGACUGCGAGACCUACAAGUCGAGCAGGGACGAAAGUCGGGCUUAGUGAUCCGGUGGUACCUCGUGGGAGGGCCAUCGCUCAACGGAUAAAAGCUACCUCGGGGAUAACAGGCUGAUCUCCCCCAAGAGUCCACAUCGACGGGGAGGUUUGGCACCUCGAUGUCGGCUCGUCGCAUCCUGGGGCUGUAGUAGGUCCCAAGGGUUGGGCUGUUCGCCCAUUAAAGCGGCACGCGAGCUGGGUUCAGAACGUCGUGAGACAGUUCGGUCCCUAUCCGUCGCGGGCGUAGGAAAUUUGAGAGGAGCUGUCCUUAGUACGAGAGGACCGGGAUGGACUGACCUCUGGUGCACCAGUUGUUCCGCCAGGAGCACGGCUGGGUAGCUAAGUCGGGAAGGGAUAAACGCUGAAAGCAUCUAAGCGUGAAGCCUCCCUCAAGAUGAGAUUUCCCAUAGCAUAAGCUAGUAAGACCCCUUGAAGAACACAAGGUUGAUAGGUCAGAGGUGUAAGUGCGGUAACGUAUGUAGCUGACUGAUACUAAUAGGUCGAGGGCUUGAUC